Astyanax mexicanus (Mexican tetra) is the source of this 1028-nucleotide long non-coding RNA. RefSeq lists it as uncharacterized. The transcript is spliced from 3 exons. Lineage: Eukaryota; Metazoa; Chordata; Actinopteri; Characiformes; Acestrorhamphidae. The record is from RefSeq and is a predicted model, not a curated record.
CGACCUGAAAGAGAAAAGCAAAAAUAAAUAAAUAAAUAAAAUUAAAGAUUAAUAUUGCUAAAUGUAGCCAAUUCAGUUAAAUAAUAAUAGAAGUUUCUUUUGAAGAUGCAUCUGGUAGUUUUAUAGUACUCGAUUCCGUACUUCGUCUCGUCUUAGACUAAACCUUGUUUGGACUCGGACUUGUCUCGGUCUCUGGGUGAGUUGGAUGUGGACACUGUGGACAAGACCAAGUCCUCUGUCUGAGAAGUUCACUCAAACAGACUUAAUCAGGGUGCCAGGAGUGGUCCAGCAGUCUAAUGCGCUGCCAAUAUGAGUGGGAGGUCACAGGUUCGAAUCCCGUUCAUGCAGCUUGCCAUCAGCUGCCGGCAAUCAGAGGGAGCACAAGUGGAAUUAUCGGAACCGAAUCGCUGUGCUUUCCUCCGAGCGCACUGGCUGCUUAGCCAAUGAUUCAGGCGCCAAUAGUGAUGGGGACGCACAAAGGAGUGGGACGAUUGGAUAGCCAAAUUGACAGGAAAAAUAGAUCCAAUACCAUGUGAGAGGGACCAUUCUUAACUUUCACCACUGCAAGUAUAGGUGUUCAGAUUGAAGAGAACAGAAGUGACAUCAGCAAUACGUUACUGGUUUUAUAUUCUGGAAUCCUCUCUACAGUAUCUUCUUCUGCUUGUACGCAGUAGGGGUGGGCGGAUCGAUUUACAGUAUCGAUACUAUCAAUACUAACGUUGGAAUUAGGUAUUUAUCGUAAGUAAUGAGUCCUAUUUUUUCAUGUAUAAAUUACUGUGAAGUUUGUAUUUUGUGUUUUUUUAUUUGCUUUAUUCUGUUAAUUUACAUUUAUAGCUAUUUUUUGUGUGUUUUCCAAAGCAUUAUGGGUUGUCAGUUUUAUUUGUUGUUUUCUGUUGAAGUGUCUACUAACGGUAAAUAGCUGUUUCCUGGUAGUUUGAGCUGCUUUUCUUUCUUUUUUUUUGGUGGAUCCAGUAAAACUCAUCAGCUUGUUUUGUGCUUGCUAAAAUACACCUAAAUAAAAAGGGGUC